Molecule: ribosomal RNA, 1393 nt
Filed under: uncultured bacterium
Lineage: Bacteria
Description: partial 16S ribosomal RNA
Source: RNAcentral
ANGCNCGGUACUCGCGAAUUGCCCUACCGGUUGAAUUUGAUCAUGGCUCAGAGCCAACGCUGUUAGGUAGUGCCUAACACAUGCAAGUCGAACGGCAGCACAGAGGAGCUUGCUCCUUGGGUGGCGAGUGGCGGACGGGUGAGGAAUACAUCGGAAUCUACUCUGUCCGGCAAUAUGGAUACGGGACAGGAGUGAUGAGAAUUAAACCCGGUUUUUUUUAAACACNGGCAGACGGGGGGGAGGGGGAAAAACAAAAUCAAACAACCCCCCCAAAGAUUUUUUUUAAACCCAGGGAGACCCCCCUUUUCANACACAACAUUUNAAACCCCCCUGGGNACCCCCAAAACAAUUUUAAAACCCAGGGUAGAAAAAGACCCCACCCCCGAAGGUUUUAAAGACCCCACGUGGAGUGAUGGGUGUGAGUGGGAGACUUUNGGGUCNGAACAUCGACACANCAAACACAAUGAUGGGGGAGAGCCCCACACAACAUGUAGUAGNACUGGGCAUGGGGUAAUUGGAGCACAAAACAUACGAGUUUNUCCCCCAGAGUUAUUGUUGUUUUCCCCAUCAUAGGAAUGAGGCGAGAAAAAGNGACACCACAGCCCCACUACGAAGUUUUACAUNCUUUUAUAGGGUCGUGCAAGUAUANACCUACCCACCAUACUGUACGGAGCANUNGAGAGUACCCACCCNCACAUCUAGGAGNUGGCGAAGAGAGNGCAAACAACAACAACCGAACUGNCGGGGGUNGUUNUUUGUGAUCGAGGUUGCUUNUNCGUACUGGGGCGGGGGGGAGAACGACAAACACCAGGGUAUACACAAAAGAAGGGGGUAUUGUUUUCUUUUUGGNGGCGCGGCAACAAACAAACACAAUGGAUGUGGAGAGCCCCACCAAGACCCUCANUAUGGGAUGCAACAACACAUUUNACGGUAGCAUUUACCUACACCUAGGUACAUGGUACAAAAACGACUUUGUUUUGCAGAAACAAGCAGCAGCCCCAGCAGUUAUAUCAAAAUGACUAGGGAAGCGUAUUUAGAUUUNAUCGGGGAGGNGGUCCGCCACACAAGGGUAGNUGGGANUAGUGGGUGUAUGGGNGUGUUUUUUUAUUAAANACUAGAUGCACCCAAACGUNAUANGGGUANUANGGGCCGNACCCCAACGGAACCCGAUGAAAGANCACGCGGCCCACGGCAAAAUGGAAANACUCGGGUUGNUGGGANAUGNCACCNCUGGGGGGAAAAUGCGCANCNGUGUGUGAAAAAAACGUCGUUUUUGUACCCGACGACCCCNCCGUGGGUGGGGNGAUUUUUUCAAACAUUCUAUGACGCAUCCCACCCCGUGUUGUUUCUAGCGGUGAUAACGGCGCGNGAUUGUUAUGNACACCCCUGGCUU